This 433-nucleotide ribosomal RNA is filed under the name uncultured bacterium. Its description in RNAcentral is "partial 16S ribosomal RNA". It matches the Rfam family "Bacterial small subunit ribosomal RNA", at positions 29 to 507 of the family's 1533-position model. The record is from RNAcentral.
AACGAACGCUGGCGGCAGGCCUAACACAUGCAAGUCGAGCGAGGACUUCGGUCCUAGCGGCGGACGGGUGAGUAACGCGUGGGAACGUGCCCUUUGCUUCGGAAUAGCCCUGGGAAACUGGGAGUAAUACCGGAUGAGCUCUUCGGGGGAAAGAUUGAUCGGAGAAGGAUAGGCCCGAGUUGGUCUAGGUAGUUGGGGGGGUAAUGGCCUACCAAGCCGUCGCUCCUUAGCUGGGUAGAGAGGAAGGUCAGCCACACUGGGACGGGGACACGGCGCAGACUCCUACGGGAUGCAGCAGUGGGUAAUCUUAGACAACGGGGGAAACCCUGAAGUAGCCAGGCCUCGUGAGCGAUUAAGUUCGUAGGGAUGUAAAGCUCGUUCAGCUGGGAAGAUAAUGACGGUACCAGCAGAAGAAGCCCCGGCUAACUCCGUG